AUCAAAGUGUAUGAACAAACAUGGCAUCAAUUUUACCCUAUCACUUCAAGUCUGAAUAUGAAGGGGAAGCCUCUGGAGAUGCGAAUGAUCAACAAACUCAAUCGCAAACACCACGACUGGAGCAGGAUUUCUCAAUGGCGCACGUGCGGAAACUGCAUUAAAAUGCCAAGCGAGAGAGAAAAUGUUUGCUGCAAAGAAAUACGACAGGUUGUAAAAAAAAAAUGAACGAAGUUCCAGUCCCACCAACAUGCAUGCUGCAUCAUCCAGGCUUUGAUCCGAAUUGUCUGAAUAUGCAUGUACUGCAGAACAUCUAUAACAUAUACAGAUGUGACUAUGGCCGUCUAAGGCGAAGAACCACAGAGGAAAAGUUCCACCAUGUGGCAUACCGCAGCUUUGUUAGCUGUUGCUGGGGCUACUUGGGUCGGAGUGUCCGGGUUGUCCUUCUGAGCUGUGUUGUGAACCUGAUACACCAGGAGUUUCCAGAUCCGACUGGAGAGUACACCGGCUUUCGACCUCCGCUUGACUGAAUCUUGAAACAUGGCUGGCAAUUGCUUCCACCUUUGAUGGUCUGACAAACUCUGCACAAAGUGGCUUUGGAAUGGGGACUGAUUUCAGUUCUUCCACAAAUGUAGAGGGGUCCAUGACCACUUCUUCAAAUACGAGCUUCAGUAGCUCAUCAACAUAAGCUGUAAUAAAAACAUUACAUUUUUUAUUACUUAUUUCAAAUUUAAAAUAUCUUUAUUUUUUAGUUGGUGUUUGUAAUUUAAAUGUUACAUUACUUAUUACACAUUUAUAAUAUUUGACAAAUUUUUUACAUUUUUUUUUAGUAAAAUGUUUUGUUACUUACUAUAUGUUGACUUUUUUUUUAAUGGCCGUGCUACACAUUGCCCUUUUUUGAUUUCGGGAACACCAAUCGGUACACCGCCUGUCCUGCCUUGGUUGUGGCUUGUUCUCUGUUGGCGUUUUCAUUAUGAAUCGCAGCAAGAUACAGUCUGCAAUAACAGAAGACACAGUAAAGGACAGCUUCUCUACAAUACGUUUGAAAUUUUUUUGUUAAUAGUCAUAUUGACUCUUCCUCCUCCUCUCCCCUCUCUUCUUCCAACAGCAGAGGUAUUUUUGGUGGUCUGAAACCAGACUUUACUGGUGUUGAUGCAAACGGUUUAUCAGGGUUCCUUAAAUCUUGCCCUGGAGGUCCAAUGCACUGCAUAGUUUAGCUCCAACCCUGAUAAAAGUCAGCUACCUCUGAUUUUCUAAUGAUAAUGAAGACAUUGAUUGGCAUGGGUUAGAAUGCUCAGGUGCGUAUGAUUAGGGUUAGAGCUAAACUGUACAGGAAAGUGGAUCUCGAGGUCCAGAUUUGAGGAUCCCUGCGGUAUAUCACAGGUGGUUGAUGUGCCAACAGUCACACAAGCAACUGUAGCCUGUGAACCUUAAAAAUAACAUACAAUUACGUUAAAAUUUUUAUAUUAAAAAAUGACAUUUAAAAAGUGAUAUUAAAAUCUUUAAAAAUAAAUAAAUAAAUAAAACAUUUAUUAAAGGUA
Carassius gibelio (silver crucian carp) is the source of this 1538-nucleotide long non-coding RNA. RefSeq lists it as uncharacterized. The transcript has 4 exons. The record is from RefSeq and is a predicted model, not a curated record. Lineage: Eukaryota; Metazoa; Chordata; Actinopteri; Cypriniformes; Cyprinidae.